Molecule: ribosomal RNA, 465 nt
Filed under: uncultured bacterium
Lineage: Bacteria
Description: SSU rRNA
Rfam family: Bacterial small subunit ribosomal RNA
Source: RNAcentral
AGAAUCAACGCUGGCGGCGUGCCUAACACAUGCAAGUCGAACGAGAAAGUGGAGCAAUCCAUGAGUAAAGUGGCGCACGGGUGAGUAACACGUGACUAACCUACCUUUUAGUGGGGGAUAACCUAGGGAAACCUGGGCUAAUACCGCAUAAUACCUACGGGUCAAAGCAGCAAUGCGCUGAAAGAGGGGGUCGCGGUCGAUUAGUUAGUUGGCAGGGUAAUGGCCUACCAAGACUGUGAUCGAUAUCCGGCCUGAGAGGGCGCACGGACACACUGGAACUGAAACACGGUCCAGACUCCUACGGGAGGCAGCAGUGGGGAAUUUUGCGCAAUGGGCGAAAGCCUGACGCAGCAACGCCGCGUGGAGGACGAAUGCUUUCUGAGUUGUAAACUCCUUUCAGCAGGGACGAUUGUGACGGUACCUGCAGAAGAGCACCGGCCAACUACGCGCCAGCAGCCGCGGUAA